GACGGACCAGGUCGGCUUCCGCUCCGCGAGGAAAACUCCAGUGGUGUCUACGUCAGGCCACGCCCCUAGCUGUCUGAGCCAAUCAGAGGCGCGGAGCUCCAGUUUAGUUACAGCCAAGGCUCUGCAAGCCUCUGGACCCGAGAAGCGCACUGGCCUUUGCUGGACCCUCGGACGCUACAGAGGUGAUUCGAGAAUCCACCAGAGCUUGGCCUGUCCUGUUGCUAUGGGAACAGCCUGCGGCCUUCUUUCCUGAUCCCCUAGCUCCGGUUAGGAAACAGAACCACUGAAUCUACGCAGCUGAUGCUUGGGUUGUUUCCAACCUUUUUUGGGGGUGGGUGACUGUAAGCUCAUAUACCAGUGGAACAGGUGAGUCAUAGCUAUGUGAAUGUUCACCUUUACGAAUAGUGCUAGUCUUCCAAAGUGGUUAAAUCAAUGUAUGCUCUCUCUCUCUGGCAGGACUUAGAGAGUUCCAGAUGUACAUCCUUACCAACACUUAGUAUUAUCAACUACUUUAGUUUUGGAGAAUCAUCCUAUAUAAUAAGAGAGGAAUAUGCUAAUUAUCCGUUAUUCCUUGAGGCAUAAUGACCAACCGAAUAACAACCAGAUCAUGGAUCUGCAGAAGGGUGGGGCAUCGAACUACAAGCGGGUGGCAAAA
Long non-coding RNA from Eptesicus fuscus (big brown bat), 655 nucleotides. RefSeq lists it as uncharacterized. The transcript is spliced from 3 exons. The record is from RefSeq and is a predicted model, not a curated record. NCBI's taxonomy places the organism in Eukaryota, Metazoa, Chordata, Mammalia, Chiroptera, Vespertilionidae.